ACCUGGGUGGCUCAGUCGGUUGAGCGUCUGACUUCAGCUCAGGUCAUGAUCUCACAGUUCGUGGGUUCGAGCCCCAUGUCAGGCU
This 85-nucleotide transfer RNA is filed under the name Felis catus (domestic cat). It matches the Rfam family "tRNA". Rfam says of the family: Transfer RNA (tRNA) molecules are approximately 80 nucleotides in length. Their secondary structure includes four short double-helical elements and three loops (D, anti-codon, and T loops). Further hydrogen bonds mediate the characteristic L-shaped molecular structure. tRNAs have two regions of fundamental functional importance: the anti-codon, which is responsible for specific mRNA codon recognition, and the 3' end, to which the tRNAs corresponding amino acid is attached (by aminoacyl-tRNA synthetases). tRNAs cope with the degeneracy of the genetic code in two manners: having more than one tRNA (with a specific anti-codon) for a particular amino acid; and 'wobble' base-pairing, i.e. permitting non-standard base-pairing at the 3rd anti-codon position. Lineage: Eukaryota; Metazoa; Chordata; Mammalia; Carnivora; Felidae. The record is from Rfam by way of RNAcentral.